Molecule: long non-coding RNA, 1056 nt
Organism: Xiphophorus couchianus (Monterrey platyfish)
Lineage: Eukaryota; Metazoa; Chordata; Actinopteri; Cyprinodontiformes; Poeciliidae
Exons: 3
Source: RefSeq, a predicted model, not a curated record
UUUAUGAUUUGCAGGUUAUUUAAAACAGGACAACAAAAUAUUUAUUGUGCAAAACGUAAGACAUUUUUCUCCAACUUAACUAAAAUAACUUAUGUCUCAGAAGAUCCACAAACCUCAAUGCAUUUCAUCAGGAUUUAUGUGGCAGACCAAAACAUACUAGUGUGUAAAAAGAAGAAAAAUAAUGCUAAGGUUUUACAUUUUAAUUGCAAGUGUUACAAAUUUUAAUUUCACAGUAUUGCAAAGGUAUGCACAAGUAAGUGUCUGGAUAUAUUACACCAAAUCGAUUACGUUCUCACGUCAGGUGUUAAUGCUCAAAUCCAUUUUUUUGAUUUUGUGAUUGUUUAUAUUACAGUAUGAUGUGGUCACAGUCAGACUUCUGUGUGAACAGUUUACGACCCCAAAGUGUCAUAAACACGAGCAGAAAACAAAGGAUGCCAAGUAAAAAGAAAGUCAAUUAAUAGCUAAAGCUGUUUGUGUAGCAUUGACUGCAACUUCUGCACAGAAGUCUAUCUGGAUGCGAAGUCUGACUUCUUUCAUAAUUUUAUAGUUAUAAUUUACAAUGUCUAGCUUCUUCUGCUGAAUGAUUAUGAAGCUUGUCUUGCAUCAAUUAUGUAAAAGUCUGAUAAAAUGCUGCUUGACCGGUCUCACUGCAGACAUCUUUGAAAACUACGUAUCCGAUUUAGUACUACAUAUGGACAUGGGACAAACCAGAUUUUUUGCAUUGUUCUGACAUCCAUGAAAAAGUCAGACAUGGGUCGCAUUUGCUUGCUGAAUGAACGUUGCUGUAUUUUGGGAUGAGUCACUACCAGCUUCUCACAUCAGACUGACAACUUUGCCUCUAACAAACUUUCUUUCUAGUAUUGCUCUGUAUCUAGCACCAACUCUAACCAGCUUCCCUGUUUGUGCUGAAGGAAAAACACCCACACAGCUCCCAUUCCCAUUUUUCACAGUGGUGAUGUGCAGUGUUGACCUUCCACCAAGCAGCAUUUUGCAGGAAAGAAAGAAAAAAAAAAAGGGUAUAAUUUAGACUCAUCUGAUCAAAGGACCCUGUUGGGU